This is a non-coding RNA of Characodon lateralis, 95 nucleotides long. The record is from the annotation of a GenBank genome assembly. Lineage: Eukaryota; Metazoa; Chordata; Actinopteri; Cyprinodontiformes; Goodeidae.
GGUCUGGGUGGCUCAGGUGGUUGAGCCGUCACACCAUGUGCAGAGGCUAUAGCCCUUGACAUGGUUGUCCUGGGUUCCAUUCCCGGUCUCGGCCU